UUUUCUUCAAAAGAGAAAUUAAUUCACGACCCAUUUUUGGCCGCGUUCCACGCCCACAGUUUCUAUAGACUUCAGCUGAGGUUGCACCAUGCCUCCAAAGGGAAAAAAAAAGGCUUCAAGCAAUGCCCUGCCACUUCUACUCCCAGACAAAUGUUUUACACUCGUCCAAUAAAGUCUUCUCUCCCAAAAUAAGAAAGCUCAAGGCGCAGCACCACAAGGAAGAAAACCAGAGCAGAACAGGCUUUGGUGCUGCGAUAAAACAGUUAGCAGCAAACCCACGCUGCACCUUUAAAUGCAAGUCUCAGGAAAGCAAAAAAACAAGUUGGAAAGCCACCAAAGGCUUCCUUCACAUAGCCAGGCAGAAAGCAAGCCCAGGCUGUUACGGAAUUUGCGUUUACAUUUACAUACUGCUGGUGAUAAUCUACGCGCAGAGCUGGAAACAAAGCAAGUUUUUAUUAGCAAUUAGCAGCAGGAGCGGGGACAGAGCUGCCUGAAGGAGCCUGAGAAAUGCCCAUACACAAACAACCUUAUAAAAUGUGCAGCGGACCGAUCCCGAUACGAGAAAUCAUACGGAAAAGAAAGUAUUGCAGCUAUAAAGUGGGGAGACGCCAUGGCGUUUGCUCAAGGAGAUAAACUGUAUCUUUAGCACUGACAACCCUGACUGCAGGCAGCAGUUUUCCCUUGCACAGCAAUUUGCAAUGCAAAGCAAGCUCCUUCCACCCUCACCACCAACAGCAACUCAGAACACAACGGGGAGAGCAAAGUCAGAAGGGGCCGGUUUGGUCAGCUGGACGCGGUUUUCUUCAGAGCUAAGUUUCAAGUCAGGCAUGAAAGCAAUACGGCAAAACAUCUGAAAUAGUGUGAAAACUGGGCUCUGAAAAACCCCGUCCGGCUCUGAGCAGCCACCAAAACCCAGCUGUGUUCUUCCCCGGCUCUGGAGGACGGCGUGGCCCUACAACAGAACUGCUGAAAUCACAGCCAGGGGUUGCAAGAGGAAAGCCAUGGGCAAAUUCAGCGUGGAAAGCCCGGGAACUCCAGACGAGACGGGGAGGAGCGGCUCAGCACGCACAGGGCCGAGCAGGGGAACAGCUCUGGCUCCAGGGGCGUAAAUUUAGGGGAGUAAAUUCCAGUUCAGUUACAACGAGGGCCCGGCUUCAAACGCGCAAUCCUCUUCUCUUUGGUGGUCGGAUCGGGCUGCUGGAUCAUCGCCACGGCAGGCUGCAGGUGAGGAGGAGGAGGUCAGGUUAAACCUCUGCAACAUCUCCGAGGGAAAAGGGAGGGAGGGAAGCAAGCCUCAGCUCCAGACCAGCAGGAGCUGUCCCCGUGGGAGGCUGCUGCGCUCCGCCUUCAGCAGAACCCCUCCAGGAAGCAUCUCUCGUGGGGAGUCAUCUUGGGUCUCCGAAGAAGCCUUCGCUCUGCGUGCAGCACAUGCGGAGAGCUGCCAGCUGCUCUCUCCUCUUCCUGCGCAGCUCCUCGAUGCAGGUCUGCAGGUCAGCCUUUGGGAGGGAAAUGAGGAAAUUAGUCCCAGGCAGCCUCGGGCUCCUCCUCCUCCUCUAAAACCUGUUUGGAGGGGUAAUGUUCAGCCCAGGCUCAUACCAAUCUGAAGAGGUAUGGCCCCAAUUAGCCCGCUCCCCAUAUCCUCCGUCCCCUUUUUGCCUCGGGCAAGCUUCGCCGCUGUCAUCAUCCCCCUCCCAAUUUCUGUUUGCAAAGCAGCUCACACAGAUCUGCUCCAUUUCCCCCCCAUCGGCUCCAGGAGCACUUUGCAAACCAGAUCAGCCGAACACGCAGGCGAGAAUACACAGAAACGUCUCAAAACA
Molecule: non-coding RNA, 1817 nt
Organism: Anas platyrhynchos (mallard)
Lineage: Eukaryota; Metazoa; Chordata; Aves; Anseriformes; Anatidae
Source: RefSeq, a predicted model, not a curated record